Molecule: ribosomal RNA, 159 nt
Filed under: Lecanora dispersoareolata
Lineage: Eukaryota; Fungi; Ascomycota; Lecanoromycetes; Lecanorales; Lecanoraceae
Description: 5.8S ribosomal RNA
Rfam family: 5.8S ribosomal RNA
About the family: 5.8S ribosomal RNA (5.8S rRNA) is a component of the large subunit of the eukaryotic ribosome. It is transcribed by RNA polymerase I as part of the 45S precursor that also contains 18S and 28S rRNA.
Source: RNAcentral
AAAACUUUUAACAACGGAUCUCUUGGUUCUGGCAUCGAUGAAGAACGCAGCGAAAUGCGACAAGUAAUGUGAAUUGCAGAAUUCAGUGAAUCAUCGAAUCUUUGAACGCACAUUGCGCCCCUCGGUAUUCCGGGGGGCAUGCCUGUUCGAGCGUCAUUG